AAUCCAGUUGAUCCUGCUGGCGGUUGCGGCUCUCUGAUUUGCGCUUAGACAUGCAAGUCUGACGAAAGUCGGCGAACUGCUCAGUAACACGUAGCUAACCUACCCUUAGGUCAGGCAUACCCUCGGGAAACUGAGGUUAAUUCCUGAUAAGAGACAUACCCUGGAAUGAUUUGUCUCCCAAAUUCGAGCCAAAGGAUGGGGCUGCGGCGGAUUAGGUAGUUGGCGGGGUAAUAGCCCACCAAGCCUGUGAUCCGUAAGGGCUCUUAGCGGAGAGGCCCUGAGAGGGAAUCUGAGACACUAUUCCCAGCCCUACGGGGUGCAGCAGUUAGGAAUCAUCUGCAAUGCGCGAAAGCGUGACAGUUUGAACCAGAGUGCUUCUCACUUGAGAAGCUUUUGCCAAAUGUAAAAAGUUUGGCGAAUAAGGACUGGGUAAGACGAGUGCCAGCCGCCGCGGUAAUACUCGCGGUCCAAGUCGCAGCCAUCUUUAUUGGGUCUAAAACAUCCGUAGCUUGCCUGGUAAGUUCCUUGUGAAAUCUUAUCUCUCAAAGAUGAGGCGUGCAAGGAGUACUGCCAGGCUAGAGACCGGCAGACGCAGGAAGUAUGUUCGAAGUAGCGGUAAAAUGCGUUAAUCUCGGACAGACUCACAACAGCGAAGGCAUCCUGCGAGGACGGUUCUGACUGUCAGGGAUGAAGGCUAGGG
RNAcentral lists this ribosomal RNA (700 nucleotides) under Nanobdellota archaeon. RNAcentral's name for it is "bacterial SSU rRNA". It matches the Rfam family "Archaeal small subunit ribosomal RNA", at positions 1 to 716 of the family's 1478-position model. Lineage: Archaea; Nanobdellati; Nanobdellota. The record is from RNAcentral.